AUGGCCGGUACCACCGGGAUCCAGGGAUCUGGGACCACUGGGAUUUGGCUUCCCAGUAUCCAGCAUCACUGGGAUCCGCUGGGAUUUGGCUCUCAGGGAUCCAGCACCACCGGGAUCUGGGGAUCUGGCAGGGAUGGGGUUUGGUGCUCGGAUGUUGGGCACCACCGGGAUCCGGGGAUCCAGCACCACCAGGGUUUGGCUCUCCGGGAUCUGGCGCUGCCAGGAUGUGACUCUUGGGCAUCUGGGAUCCGGGGAUCCGGCACCGCCGGGGGUUUGGCUCCCCGGGAUCCGGCACCACUGGGUUCCAGGGAUCCGGCACCGCCGGGGUUUGGCUCCCCGGGAUCUGGGAGCACCGGGAUUUGGGGAUCCAGGCUCUGGCUCCAGGCGGUUCCGGCUCCGCGGCAGCGGGUGCAGGUGUGUGGUGGGGCCGUGUCCCUCUGUCCCCUCCCCGUGUCCCUCUGUCCCCUCCCCGUGUCCCUGUCCCUCUGCACAUCCAGGGGUCCGUGUCCCCGUGUCCGUCUGUGCGUCCCCGUGUCUGUCCCUCCAUGUCACCCCAUGUCACUCCGUGUCCCUCUGUGUCCUUGUCCCUGUCGCCGUGUCCAUCCGUGUCCUUUUAUGUCCCUCUGUGUGUCCCUCCGUGUCCACACGUGUCCCUUCCCGUGUCCCUUUAUGUCUCCCUGUCCCCUUGUGUCCCUCUGUCCCCCGUGUCCAUGUGUGUCCCUCCCCGUUCCCAUGUCCCCCUGUCCCUCCGUGUCCCUCUGUCCCCACAUGUCCCUGUUCCUGUGUCCCUCUGUCCCCCGUGUCUACGCGUGUCCCUCUGUCUCUCCAUGUCCCUUUGUCCCCCCACGUCCACACGUGUCCCUCCGUGUCCCUCCAUCCCCCACAUCCAUGUGUGUCCCCAUGUCCCUCUGUCCCUCCGUGUCUCUCUGUGUCCACGUGUGUCCCUCUGUCCCCCACGUCCACACGUGUCCCUCUGUCCUUCCGUGUCCCUCUGUCCCCCCAUGUCCAUGUGUGUCCCUCCCUGUUCCCAUGUCCCUCUGUCCCCCACGUCCAUGCAUGUCCCUCUGUCCCUCUGUGUCCCUCUGUCCCUCCAUGUCCACGCGUGUCCCUCUGUCCCUCCGUGUCCAUGUGUGUCCCUCCGUGUCCCUCUGUCCCUCUGUGUCCUUGUCCCUGUCGCCGUGUCCAUCCGUGUCCUUUUAUGUCCCUCUGUGUGUCCUUCCGUGUCCACACGUGUCCCGCCGUGUCCCUCUGUCCCCUCCCCGUGUCCCUCUGUCCCCUCCCCGUGUCCCUGUCCCUCUGCACAUCCAGGGGUCCGUGUCCCCGUGUCCGUCUGUGCGUCCCCGUGUCUGUCCCUCCAUGUCACCCCAUGUCACUCCGUGUCCCUCUGUGUCCUUGUCCCUGUCGCCGUGUCCAUCCGUGUCCUUUUAUGUCUCUGUCCCUCCGUGUCCCUCUGUCCCCCCACAUCCAUGCAUGUCCCUCUGUUGUCCCCCUGUGUCUACGCGCGUCCCCCUGUGUCUACGCGCGUCCCCCUGUGUCUGUCUGUCCCCCAGUGUCCACACGUGUCCCUCUGUCCCUUUGUGUAUCCCUCUGUCCCCCAUGUCCACGUGUGUCCCUCCAUCCCUCCGUGUCUCUCUGUCCCCCCAUGUCCACACGUGUCCCUCCGUGUCCACAUGUGUCCCUCUGUCCCUCCGUGUCCCUGUCCCUCCAUGUCCAUGCGUGUCCCUCUGGCUGUGUCCCUCUGUCCCUCCGUGUCUACGUGUGUCCCUCUGUCUUUCCAUGUCCCCCGUGUCCCUCUGUGUCCACGUGUGUCCCUCUGUCCCUCCGUGUCCCUCUGUCCUCCAUGUCCACACCCAUCCCUCCCAUUCCCAUGUCCCUCUGUCCCUCCGUGUCCCUCUGUCCUCCAUGUCCACACCCAUCCCUCCCAUUCCCAUGUCCCUCUGUCCCUCCGUGUCCCUCUGUCCUCCAUGUCCACACCCAUCCCUCCCAUUCCCAUGUCCCUCUGUCCCUCCGUGUCCACAUGUGUCCCUCUCCCCCACAUCCACACGUGUCCCUCUGUCUUUCCGUGUCCCUCUGUCCCUCCGUGUCCCUCUGUCCUCCAUGUCCACACCCAUCCCUCCCAUUCCCAUGUCCCUCUGUCCCUCCGUGUCCCUCUGUCCCCCUGUAUCCAUGUGUGUCCCUGUCUUUCCGUGUCCCUCUGUCCCCCCACGUCCACGCAUGUCCACACGUGUCCCUCCAUGUCCACACGUGUCCCUCUGUCCCUCCGUGUCCCUCUGUCCCCCACGUCCACGCGUGUCCCUCUGUCCCUCCGUGUCCCUCUGUCCUCCAUGUCCACACCCAUCCCUCCCAUUCCCAUGUCCCUCUGUCCCUCCGUGUCCACAUGUGUCCCUCUCCCCCACAUCCACACGUGUCCCUCUGUCUUUCCGUGUCCCUCUGUCCCCCCAUGUCCACGCAUGUCCCUCCCCAUUCCCAUGUCCCUCUGUCCCCCAUGUCCACGCGUGUCCCUCUGUCCCUCCGUGUCCCUCUGUCUUUCCGUGUCCCUCUGUCCCCCCAUGUCCACGCAUGUCCCUCCCCAUUCCCAUGUCCCUCUGUCCCCCAUGUCCACGCGUGUCCCUCUGUCCCUCCGUGUCCCUCUGUCUUUCCGUGUCCCUCUGUCCCCAACAUCCACACCCCGUGUCCCUCCCCCUUCCCCGUGUCCCUCCCCGUUCCCGCGUCCCGCCCUCCCCACCUCACACACGCCUGCCACACGCCUCCUACAUGCCCCCACACGCCUCCCACACGCCUCCCACACGCCAUGGCCCCCUCGGGGCCACCGGAACGGGGUUCUCUGGCCCGUUUGGCUCGAGACACCUCCUGCCCGGCCUGUGGGCUGGCGCUGAGGGACCCCGUCCUCCUGCCCUGCAACCACAGCUGCUGCCGACGCUGCCUG
RNAcentral lists this long non-coding RNA (2926 nucleotides) under Calidris pugnax (ruff). RNAcentral describes it as "lncRNA (ENSCPUG00000010629.1)". Lineage: Eukaryota; Metazoa; Chordata; Aves; Charadriiformes; Scolopacidae. The record is from RNAcentral.